GAUGAACGCUGGCGGCGUGCCUAAUACAUGCAAGUCGAGCGAACAGACGAGGAGCUUGCUCCUCUGACGUUAGCGGCGGACGGGUGAGUAACACGUGGAUGACCUACCUAUAAGACUGGGAUAACUUCGGGAAACCGGAGCUAAUACCGGAUAAUAUAUUGAACCGCAUGGUUCAAUAGUGAAAGACGGUUUUGCUGUCACUUAUAGAUGGAUCCGCGCCGCAUUAGCUAGUUGGUAAGGUAACGGCUUACCAAGGCAACGAUGCGUAGCCGACCUGAGAGGGUGAUCGGCCACACUGGAACUGAGACACGGUCCAGACUCCUACGGGAGGCAGCAGUAGGGAAUCUUCCGCAAUGGGCGAAAGCCUGACGGAGCAACGCCGCGUGAGUGAUGAAGGUCUUCGGAUCGUGAAACUCUGUUAUUAGGGAAGAACAAAUGUGUAAGUAACUAUGCACGUCUUGACGGUACCUAAUCAGAAAGCCACGGCUAACUACGUG
RNAcentral lists this ribosomal RNA (497 nucleotides) under uncultured bacterium. RNAcentral's name for it is "partial 16S ribosomal RNA". It matches the Rfam family "Bacterial small subunit ribosomal RNA", at positions 28 to 507 of the family's 1533-position model. The record is from RNAcentral.